Molecule: non-coding RNA, 1007 nt
Organism: Microcebus murinus (gray mouse lemur)
Lineage: Eukaryota; Metazoa; Chordata; Mammalia; Primates; Cheirogaleidae
Source: RefSeq, a predicted model, not a curated record
UCUAAAAGCACUGUGCUCAUGUAAUCUGUGUACAACUCUUAGAGGAACUAGUAUGCCUGUGUUUCAAAUAUAAGCUGAAGCCCAGAGUGGGGAGGCAGGUCCCUGGUUAAUAAAGGGCAGGGAGUCAGGCUUGGACCCAGGUGGGCCCAUUCAAAGCCCACGCUUCUCCGGACCCCGCCCGGAAGGCAGCAGGUGCUCUGCUUCCUAAGGAAGGACGGGAAGGGGCUGUGGCUCCUCAGGCUGCCCAGGGGACAGGCCAGACGCACGUGGACCCACUGGUGCUUGGAUGCCUGCACAGCCGGGGUUGGGAGCUGUCAAAUACCUGCUUUGCCCAUGACAAGGGGAUUGUGGAAGCAUGGCCUCUGAAAAGGCUCCCGUGUGCUCAACAGUGUGGCAGAGAAGAACAAGUCGAUCUGUAGUUAAAGCACGCAGUGGAGGGAGAUGCUGAGCGGCUGGGCCAUCUGCCUGCAGGUGGGCGCCUGGCCCAACUUCCUGCCGAGCCGCCCCUGUACCCACCUCAGAUGACUCCCAGGCCGUCCGCCCUCCGAGGCAGCCCUUGCGUUUUGAGAGGAGAGACGUGAAGCCUGUCUUGCUGUUCCUUCCAGCUGCUGGUCCUUGCUCCAGCUCUCAGAACCAGAAGGAAUCCGUCUAAUUGCUCAUUCACUGGAGAGCCCUCGAGGUACUGAUGACAGUUUUCAUUUCCUGCUGUGUCUUCUCUGGGAUAAAAAUCCCCAGCCCUCUCUCCUGGCAGUGUCUCUGUCAGCGUGAGGUCCCAGCGGAGGGCAAGGCCUGGCAGGGCAAUCACCUCCUUCCUUCUGGACAUUCUACCCCCAUUAAUGUGGCCAAAGGCUGCAUUGGCUCCAUCGCACUGGGGACGGCAUCCCGUACGUCUGAGCCCCCAGCCUGCAUCCUGUCCUCCUCUCUCUUGCAUUACUGCCCCACCUAGGAAGGGGCUUCUUCAAGGGCCUGGGGACUCCAGAGCUUUCUCCUCCACUUUACAAAACACA